Molecule: long non-coding RNA, 634 nt
Filed under: Cyanistes caeruleus (blue tit)
Lineage: Eukaryota; Metazoa; Chordata; Aves; Passeriformes; Paridae
Description: lncRNA (ENSCCEG00000023379.1)
Source: RNAcentral
AUUUCUUGGCAGAGUGGAAUUAAAGAAACACCCACAAAGUUAAAGCCAGUUCUACAAAGUUCUGUCUUUCUGCUGCCUUUCACUCACUUUCUUCCUGUAUUAUUUUACUAUUUUACUUCCUCAUAGAGCAGUAAGGUCAAGAUAGUGAGCCCAAGCUGCUGGCUACUAGCUGAGAUGGAGCCUUUGAGGUGGAGAGUGGGAUCUGAGAUUAUUGUGCCUUUCACUGGAGACUUAAGGCAAAUCUGUGCAACUCAGAAGUAACUACAUUUGACCAGCUGCAUGCUUGAUCUGAACGUCACCUUGUAACUGCUCUGGUACAGAUCUUAACACAAGGCUCUCAGGCCCUCCUACCAGUCUGACAAGCUCUGCUUAUUGUCCAGUGCUUCCUGCUGCCUCCUGGAACGCUGCCAGCUGUCCUGAUGUAAACCGGCAAAGGCCAAAGCAGCCCUGCCAUAAAGACCUUUGCUGAGAAGUGAUCUCUGCAGCCUCCUCCUUUUCUUUGCAGUGCCAGCAAAGAUAGCACAGCUCUCCAAACUGGAACCAUUAGAGGAAUUCAUUCAUUCAUUUAAUUAAUUUUCUAUUAUUUGGCAUAAAAUAAGAGAACCCAAAUAAACUCUCUUUCAACCAUUCUUCA